This 30038-nucleotide long non-coding RNA is filed under the name Vitis vinifera (wine grape). Its description in RNAcentral is "long non-coding RNA (VVIN_LNC002581)". The record is from RNAcentral. Lineage: Eukaryota; Viridiplantae; Streptophyta; Magnoliopsida; Vitales; Vitaceae.
UUUGGAUGGCCAAUCGAAACAGACCUGUCAAUGGCCGGGGCUCCAGAAUUUCGAUGCAGCGAGAUGGCACCAUGAUUCUAAGGGAUGCUGAUGGCUCAACUGUUUGGGAGACGAACACUACCUCCAAAGAUGUUGAUCGAGCAGAGCUUUUGGACACUGGAAACCUUGUUCUGAAGGACCCACGGGGUAAAAUUCUAUGGCAAAGCUUUGAUUUUCCUACUGAUACUCUUCUGCCAAACCAAAUCCUUACUACAAGCACACAGCUGAUCUCUAUAAUCAGAAGAGGGGAUUUUUCCUCUGGUCACUUUUACUUCUUUUUUGAUAAUGACAAUGUCUUGAGAAUGAUGUAUAAUGGGCCUGACAUUUCAAGCUUGUAUUGGCCUAAUCCUGAUUGGAAUGUUUUCGGAAAUGGAAGAACAAACUAUAACAGUAGCAGAAUUGCUGUUUUAGAUGAAAUGGGGAGGUUUCUUUCGAGUGAUAAAAUGUCUUUCAAAGCUUCUGACAUGGGUUUUGGAGUCAAAAGGAGGCUGACAAUGGACUACGAUGGAAACCUGAGGCUCUAUAGUUUAAACCAUUCCACGGGAUUAUGGGUGAUCUCAUGGAAAGCUCUUAGCGAACAGUGUAAAGUGCAUGGGUUAUGUGGUAGAAAUGGGAUUUGUAUUUAUACACCAGAACCCAAGUGUUCAUGUCCUCCGGGCUAUGAAGUAAGUGACCCAAGUGACUGGAGCAAAGGUUGCAAGUCUAAGUUCAACCAAAGCUGUUCCCAAACACAGCACGUAAAAUUUGUGGAGCUUCCCCAGACCGAUUACUAUGGGUUUGAUCUCAAUUACAGCCAAUCUGUUUCAAUGGAAGCUUGCAGGAAAAUCUGCUUGGACGAUUGCCUUUGCCAAGGAUUCGCCUACAGGCUAACAGGAGAAGGGAACUGUUACGCAAAAAGUACCCUUUUCAAUGGCUACAAGUCCUCGAACUUCCCAGGGAGUUUAUAUUUAAAACUGCCUAUGGAUGUCGAAACGUCAGCACCCACUAUUCUUAAUGGCGCUGAUCCCAUAUGCGAGUCCAAGGAAGUUGAGGUCGUGCUGAGUUCUUCUAUGUAUGACCCUGCCAAUAAAAGGAUGAGAUGGGUUUAUCUCUACUCAUUUGCUUCUGCCAUUGGUGCAAUGGAAAUUCUCUUUAUUGUGUCGAGUUGGUGGUUUCUUUUCAGGGUACAUAAUGUGACAUCUUCAGUUGAAGAUGGAUAUGGUCCGAUUUCAAGUCAGUUCAGGAGAUUUAGCUACACCGAACUCAAGAAGGCAACCAACAAUUUCAAAGUAGAGCUUGGAAGGGGAGGCUUUGGGGCUGUUUAUAAGGGUGUUUUGGAGGAUGAAAGGGUAGUAGCUGUGAAGAAAUUGGGAGAUGUCAUUCAAGGGGAAGAGGAGUUUUGGGCUGAAAUAAUCACAAUCCAAAAAAUUUAUCAUAUGAAUCUUGUCAGAAUGUGGGGAUUCUGUACAGAGGGUAGACACAGACUUGUAGUCUAUGAGCAUGUAGAAAAUCUAUCACUGGAUAAGCAUCUCUUCAGUACGACUUUUCUGGGAUGGAACGAGAGGUUUAACGUUGCAGUGGGGACAGCAAGGGGUUUAGCCUACCUUCACCAUGGGUGUCUAGAAUGGGUUAUCCAUUGUGACGUGAAGCCUGAAAAUAUACUUCUAGACAAUGGGUUUGAACCAAAGAUUGCAGAUUUUGGGCUAGCAAAGCUGUCUCAGAGAGAUGGCCCCGGUUCCAAAGAAUUCUCUCAGAUUCGGGGGACUAAAGGAUAAAUGGCUCCGGAGUGGGCGAUGAAUCUUCCAAUUACGGCAAAAGUUGAUGUUUAUAGCUAUGGAGUUGUGGUUCUAGAGAUGGUGAGGGGAAUUCGGCUUUCAAAUUGGGUGGUUGGGGAUGGUGAGGAGCAGGAAGCUGAGAUGACGAGGUUUGUCAGGCUAGUGAAACGGAAAAUUGAAUGUGGAGAAGACAAUUGGGUAGAGGAUACAGUGGACCCAAGAUUGAAGGGUAAGUUUAGCAGGCACCAGGCAGCAAAGUUGAUCGAAAUAGGUAUUUCUUGUGUAGAGGAAGAUGGAAGUAAAAGACCUACAAUGGCCACCGUAGUCCAAGUUCUCCUGGAAUGUGAAAAUGAAGCCCAAGUCCAAACCCUGGACUGGGAUUAAAUGUCCUAGGUUAUGGGUUGUCAUUGGUUUUUCUUGUUUUCUUUUUGUAUGUCUUUCUCCGUAGCCACUUCUCUGGAACUACAUCAAUUUGGAAUCGUCCAAAUUCAUGAUCCUGUGUAGCAUAAGACAUUCACCUCCCAUAAAAUAAUAGAAAUUCACAGCAUGCAGAUACUAUGAUUUUUUUUUUCUCCCCAAAAAGAAAGACAAAAGAAAAAAAGACAGAAGUCUGUAAAAAGCAGAUGAACAAACUUGAAUUUUAUUUUUAGGACUCAAGUCAAGGGUGACUAGAUGAAUUGGUGGAUGUAGAUUCUGAUUUCCUUUCAUUUGUUUUAUUUAUAGCAGUUUCAUUUCCUUGUUCAGUCAGUAAUUUUCUUUUUCCCCUCACUUGAAGUAAUUGUUUUGAUAAUUUUGUUCCCUUCCCCCCACCUUCUUCAAAUUGGGUGUAUAAUUGAAAUGGAAGUUGGCUUAUAUUUACUGGUAAUGCUUGUGAUAUCCUUUUUCUCACCUUUUUCUUAGAAAUGAAGAAUGAGGAAAUAUGGGUGCUACAUGUUUCGCUUGUUGAGAACUGCCAUUGUCACAUAGAUUUCCUAUUGAUUAACAUGUAAUCCUUGUAUGAUUUUUGUUCCAAGGAAAUUAGUUGGUAAAAAGCUUCAGUCAAACUUUAAUUGUGUGACAUUGUAGGAAUCUUUGUCCUAGAUCUUGAAUGCCUUCUUUUUGUAUGAUAUUAGAUAUCAUGCAUCCACAAGUUCUUCUCACUUGUUCAAUUUUUUAUGAUGUGCGGUUUUUAACAUAUGGUGUUCUUAGAUGUCUGGAUCCUAGUAAGCUUUACUUGUGUGAGCUUAUCCUUGUAAAGUGGAAAAGUUAUCCUACUGAUGCAGUGUUGUUAGAUAUUCUAAUAGCUUUACUUGUAUGAGCUCAUCCUUGCAAGCUUGAAGGUUAUCUUGUUCAGGGACAUGGUCCUUGCUCUUCUUCUAGAACUUUUUAUUCCGUUCUUUUCAUUUAUUUAUUUAUUUUUGGUGUGUGUGGAUAGCCUUACUAUUAUAGCACGUGUGUUAUUUUUCCAUGGGCUAUAUUACAAUUUAUCUCUCGUAGUUUCUUCCCUUAUUUUUAGGAAGCAUACUUAUGUACGUCUGAAUUCUUAUUUGGAAGCGUCUUGGUACUUUGACUGUUUAAGUCUUAAGAAGUUGAUAUCCAAGUGUAGCUAUAUAUUGUUACUUAGAGGAUCUGCAGAUUUAAGUAGGUUUAGAUCUGAUAAAACUAUAUACCAGCACUCAUGUCCCCAUUGUUUGCAAUAUGGAGCUAUGCUGAACUGUGAAAUGAGUAGCUACUGUUACCAACUUGAGGCUUGGGUCAAAGGAAGAAAAAGAGGUUGAUAGGAUAUGUUGAACUGUGAAUUUAAUUAACUCGUGUUCAUCAUUUGAUAUCAUGAUUCUGAAUUGUUGAUCGGAUGGACCAAAUGCAUUUGGUGUGGUACUUGUUUUAAUUGGACCUGGUAACAUUGAUCAGGUCCUGGUUUUUUUUUUCUUCUUCUUUUUUUUUUUUUUUCCAGCAAUGUUUGCUUUUUGAAACACCAAUUUUCUCAUCAUGAUUGUAGGAAGUACAGAGAUGCCAGAUGCAAUGGAGAUGAUAUUUCAGUCUGCCCUUGCUUUGGGUAGAAACGGGGCCGCGAGUUAUUUGUUUUCCCUGAAAUUUCUUGCACUUACAUCAUAUCGUGCUUUUCCAUGUCUAAUUUUUAGUACCACACUCAAUUGAGCUAAUUGACAGUAAGUUUCUUGCUUUUGCUUUGCAUUACAUUUUAGUAUGCAAAAUAAAAGGAAAAAAAAAGAAAAAAGAAAAAGAAGAGUGGACUCUUCUAGAAUUACCAGAAAACAAAAAAUAAGCAUGGGUUGUUGUUUGUUUGUGGAGUUAUUUUAGUUUUUGACGUCAUGCUCCUCAAGCAACAUCUUAUAAGACGAUUUUUAGUAUUAGGUCCAACAUGAACUAGUGCAAGUGUGAAGAUUGCAUUUUCUCAUGUCUCAGACUCUCCAGUAGAGGGAAUCAUACUCUCUCCAUUUGACUUGACAUGUGAUAUGCUGGAAACCUGAAACAUGGCCUUGGUUUGGCUGGUGUCAUUUUUCACUACUCAAGAGAUUUCUUGCCCAUAUGCUAAAGACUUUUAUAAGUAGUCUAUAUAACUAACUGCCCUUGGCAAAAACUCAGCGUGUCUAUAACUAAAGAUGUACGUUAGCAAUAGCAUUAUAUGGAUAUGGCUUUGUGGUUCAACACGAAUACAAUGACACUUUCCUGGAGAAUACCUGAAUAAGAUGAAUAACAACAAAUGUCACAUGAAAGCAAAUUGGUCGUGCCAAUUAAGAAUUUCUGUUUCAUACAUGUCAGCAAGUUGAUGAGCUAAUGGGUGAUGUGGAAAGCGCAGUGUCCUUGUAUUCAAAGGCGGUGCACUUGUUAGUGUUCCUUCUAGUGGAAGCACCAUCCCUCAUUCUCAACCCUCCCUUCUUCUUACAAACUCAGACCAGUAUAGGCUUCGAACUUACAUUGAUAUCCUUAAUAGGCAAGAGUCCACUCAAGGUCUCAAAGGAUGAAUCUUCUUAAGUGCGAGGAUCAACAAUGCCCCCCUUAAAAGCUAGUGUAACUUUUAAAUAUCCAAGGUGCCAUGACUUCCAUAUAAAAUCAUUUAUUUGUAAAGAUGUUCUUUGAGUGACUGUGAUCCCUUAUUUGGGACUCAAAUCAUGAUUCUAUAAUUUAAAGACUGAUGAAAUGUGCAUUUUUUUCCCAUCUCUGUCCAUUUGGAUGUGCAUUUUCUGACCAGGUGUCUAUUCAGGGGUCAUUGCCUAAAAAGCCAAUCUGGACGGUUCUGUUAGAUGAAUGGACUAGUGACUUCAAAUGCAAAUUUUGGAGCCACUAAAAACUCCUAACGGAUGGGCUUGUGAUUUCAAAUGCCAUCGAACAUGUAUUUUUUAUUUUUUAUUUUCAGGCCUGGAGAUACAAUGCUGUUUAUGGGACACCAGAUCUACUUUAAGGUCUUGCUUGAUUUAUGGGAAGAAAAUGUGCGGAAAAUUAUUUUCCUUAUAACUGGUGAGGUAGAUGAGUGCAGCUUGUGUCUAAGCAGCUUCCAUUGAAUAUUUGAGGAAAAUUCUCCUAUGAAUAAUUAGCAUCUUAUUCAAAACUUAUGAGGAGGGUUCCAAUCAGUAAAGAGUCCUGCAAAGGCUUGAUUAUCUUAGCAUGAGUCAUCAUCCCAUGACCAAGAGCGAAUACAGAAAUGUUAGGCAUGCCGCAUACGAAGGCGCCAAUCAUUUUAUCAGCCUAUCACAAUAUGCAUUAUGUAUUCCAAUUAUAUUCAAAAUUUCACCACCCGUAAAUAGGGCAGCAUAUUUCAAAACACCUACCGUAUCUUCCAAUGUUUUAAAGAGUGUCACAAGUUUCUCUAAAUCUUCCUCAUUCUUAGCUGGCAAAUGUGGACACCUUCCUUCAGGAAGAAUACAAUAUCAAUGGAUCUCCUUUAACUACUUGAUGAAAAUCAUUUCCUGCCAUUUCACAAUUGGGUCUUAUCGGAUGAGGUUACUAGAAUGAAUGGAACUUGGUGGGUCGGAGUCCACAUUGAUGAAUGGUGAAAUGGUGCCCAGUAAAAAGGCAAAUAACACAAGAUUGAGAAGACGAAAGCAUGUCUUUUUUCAUUAUAACUUCAAAGGGAAGAUUCAUGGUGGUGAUCAAAAUGAAAUCUCCAAAUAAAGAUGGCUAGUUAUACUCUAACUCUGCUGGUUUGGAAAUCCAAGAUCUACCUUGUCGAGAAUGAUCAAAUUUUAGGGGUGUUAUCAAUAUUGUCCCCUAAGCUAAUGACCAAUUCAAGGCAUUGAAAUAUAAUUAAAAAAAUGCAACAAGUAGGAGUGGAUAUUAAAAAGAAGGGAGUCUUAUGUCAUAAGACGCUUCAAAUGACCCUCCCUAUGGGCUUAUAUAGGAAAUAGGAAGCUUUUAAAGACCCCAAGAGACAUCUACACUUAGCUACAAAGUGGAAGAGUAUGGAAGUUUUUAGAGAGGGUUAGAGAUGUCUACACAUCUCUACACUUGACUAGGAGAGCAUUGGAAUAGUGUGGAAUGUUCUAAAUUCUUCCAAAGGCAUCUUGUACAUAACCUUAUACAUAGACUAGUGUAGGAGCUUCUAGAUUAUUCUUGAUCUGUAAGGAAACCUCUAAGGUUCUACAUACUUCCUGAGGUGUCUAUAAAUAGGUUAAGGCCUCAUUUGGCCAAGACACCACCCAAAUCACUUUCUAACCAAGCAAGUGAGCUUUCAAAGCACUUGUAAAACAUCAUUUGAGAGCAAUAGAAGCUUCCAUUCUUUAAGAGUUGCCUAUUUCGCCUUCUAAAGCUUCCAAUUCGUGAGUAGUAAGCUAAGUACUAGGAGUAAGGUUGACAUAGCAAGAUCACAAGUCUUGGUUUGUCUAAGUGUCACAUGAGCUUAGGAAAAUAUUAAUUCUAUGAUAGUUGGUAUUAGAGUAUGGUUGCAAAGCAGGCAUUGUGAAGGAAGCAUAUUGGGGUCCAAUGUUGAUGACACUAGUGAGCAAACUCGUGGAAGGAAAACCGAGCCUAUUGUACGGGGUAGGGGUAGGAAGGAUAAGUCUCAUGAUGUCGUUGUCAACAUAGAGGCAAGGGCUAGCCAAAAUGGAGCUAGCCAUGGCGGACUCUCGGGAGGGGUUGGACUUGAUUGAGCAAGGCAUGGAGAAGGGCAUGGAAGAUCUUAGGGAAUAGAUCCAAGACCUUCGUGAGGAGAUGCUAGUCUCAUAGGUUCAACUAGUGUCACACGAGGAGUUUGUGUCCUUCGAAAAGAAGGUCAUGAGUGUGCUUACUAGCAUGGAGUCAAAGAUGGAGGCUUUGGCUACCAUAGAGUCCCGAGACCAAGGGGUUAGGCAAUAGUUGGCUAUCUAUAAGGUCGUUGUGUCAGCGCUAGUCAUGGCCAUAUGGGAGGCAUCUAGGAUAGAGAUACUGAAGCCACAAGGGUUUAGUGGCAAGUAGGAUGCCAAAGAGUUAGACAACUUCUUAUGGCAUAUGGAGCAAUACUUCGAGACUAUCGCACUAACUGAUGACGGCUAAGGUAAGGACUAUGAUCCUCUACCUUACUAACAUAGCUACUCUAUGGUGGCGUCAAAAGUUCACCGAUAUGGAGAAAGACAUUUGCAUCAUAGAAACAUGGGAGGACUUUAAAAGGGAAAUCAAAAGGUAGUUCUACCUCGAGGACGUGGCCUACCUAGCUAGGAAAAACAUGAGACGUCUUAAGCACACAAACUCGAUUUGUCUCUAUGUCAAGGAGUUCUCUUCGCUCAUGCUUGAGAUUCCUAAUAUGACUGAGGAGUUGUUAUUCAACUUCAUGGAUAACCUACAAAGGGGGGCCAAGCAGGAAUUAAGGCAUUGAGGUGUUCAAGACUUAAUCACUGUUAUGGCAGUAGUAGAGUUUUUAACGGAUUACAAGAGGAAAGACUCCUCCAAGGUUGACUCUUUGGAGGAUAGCCAUGCCACUAGUGGAGAAGAUGAGGUUUCAAGGGACCACAACGCUCUUAGAAUGGGAUCAGGCAAGACACUUAACGUUAGGAAAAAAAGAGGUAAGACGAAAAAUAAGGACUUUACGCUUAAAAUCAAGUGUUUCUUGUAUGACAGUCCAUAUUGGGCACAAGAUUGUCCAAAGAGGAAGAUGCUUAGUGUCAUGAUCGAGGAGAAUGAAUAAGAAAAUGAGGCACAUAUGGGUUCGAUGCAACUACUAGGUACCUUCCAAGUCAACCCAAAGCGUAGUACGCUUAAGACCUUCUUACUAUUAAGGGUGCAAGUAAAGGAGGCAAAAUGGGAGCAAACUAAAGUAGCCCGUACACACAUGGACAAGGUCACCAAGGGAGAGGUGAACUUAAUGGGCAAAAGAAAACAACACUCUAAGCAUCGAAAGUGUAGGUGUCUGCAUCCAUCCAAGGCCUCAUAGGAAAAGGAGGUGAAAAAUAUCCUGGCUGAGUAAGUCACCAGGAGACAAGGGGUCCUUUUUGUGAUAGAGUAUCUAGUCCAAUGGAAAUGUCUACCUAAGAGGCAAGCAAGUUGGGAACAUGUGGAUGCCUUGAGAAAGUUUUGGAAACACAUCAAGAGAUUUCAAGAAGAGGCAACGACAGGGACAUCAAUGGUAUGGGUGAGGGAAAGUAUCACAAGAUGCUUCAAAUACCCCUCCCCAUGGGCUUAUAUAGGAGAUAGGAAGCUUUUAGAGACUCUUGGAGACAUCGACACUUAGCUACAAAGUGGAAGAGUAUGAAAACUUUUAGAGAGAGUUAGAGAUGUCCACGUAUCUCUACACUUGGCUAGGAGAGCAUUGGAGUAGUGCGAGGUGUUCUAGAGUCUUCCAAAGGCAUCUUGUACAUAGUCUUAUACAUAGACUAGUGUAGGAGCUUCUAGAUUUUUCUUGAUUUGUAAGGAACCCUCCAAGGUUCUAGAGACUUCCUAAGGUGCCUAUAAAUAGGUUAAGGCCUCAUUUGGCCAAGACACCACCCAAAUCACUUCCUAAUCAAACAAGUGAGCUUCCAAAGUAUUUGUAAAACAUCAUUUGAGAGCAAUAAAAGUUUCAAUUCUUCAAGAGUUGCCUACUAUGCCUUCUAAAGCUUCCAAGUCGUGAGUAUCUUAGCCUAGUAAGUUAAGCAUCAGGAGUAAGGUUGACUUAGCAAGAUCACGGGUCUUGACUUGUCUAAGUAUCAUAUGAGCUUAGGAAAAUACUAAGUCCAUGACAUUUAGCUUCAUUGUCGACAAGUCUUUAGUGUAUCUUCGUCUAUAGCUUACAUCAAACAAGGACAGGUCAUGAAUUCAUUUGUAGCUUUCGUCAUAUAACAAGAGUUGUUGACAUAUAAUCAGUGGGUAUACCAAUGACCAGUAUCAUUGCUAAUGAGUCUUUCACGGGCCAUCGUACAUGGCUAGCUUACAUAAGAUAAAGAACCAUCAUGAUUCAUGUGUAGCUUAUACGAGAUUGGGAGAGGUCUUCACUUAAGAGAACUUGUUGUUCAAGGCAUUAUUUCUGGGGUGACGGUCAAGUUUCUCAACAUUCAGACUUUCCCGCAACGUAACGUACAUGCACGGUGCGCCCAAAUUCAACAAAGGGCACCUUUAGAUGUGACCAUUUCUACAGUUAAAUUGGAUAAAUAUCUAUCAUCUCCCUAAGGUUUCUCAAAAAUUUAUCUCCCUUAAAAAAUCUUGGGGCAUCUCUAUUCUUUGGUUUACAGUUUGUUUGAAAAGCUGAUCAAGGUAGUGGAUAAACUUAAUUCGUGCCAUGUCUUCCCUCCUUUCGUAUGUGAACUAAUGGAUAUAAAACUAACAUUUUCUUAACCAAAGAUACAUUGUGAAGCUACAAAACUCGAACGACCAGGAGAAUGGUCUCUCUCAAAAGUCAAAACCUAAGGGUGCAAAGAAUUCUCCCCACCUUCGGGGCAAGGACAUUCAACAUCCACUCAAAUGAAGACCUAAUGCUGAAGAAAGGAAGUCAAGUCUCUUUGGCACCAUGCACGAUAAAGCUGAAAAAUGGCAGAAAAGUCGUGGUUCCUGCUGCCCUGUUGCAAAAGGCCUACUCCUUCGUGCUCCUUCCCGUGAAGAGUGGCUAUAAAAAGAAACAUAAGCAACAAAAUGGGAUCUCCUCCUCAACGAAAUCACUCUCUCCAUCUACAAGAAAACGGUAAAAAAUUCAUCUUUGUAUCCAGAAAAUGAUGAAAUAAAAUCCUCCAUUUUUCCUGAAGAAUUUUAGCUACUUCACAUAGCUAGACAAAACUAGGAAAGACAUGGGAAACCUUAGUCCUACAUCUCAAAAGUUUCCUUCCAUUCUUCUUAUCCUUCUCAUAUUUCUCAUCUCCUUCUUCCCUUUUGCAACUUCCAACACCCAGAACAUUUUGCAAAGAAGCUCCUUUCUAUCGGUCGAAGAUGAUUCAGACUACAUCACCUCCCCAGACAAAUCAUUCAAUUGUAGUUUCUAUGGGAUGGGGGAAAAUGCUUACUGGUUUUCAAUAUGGUUCACAAAUUCGAAGGAACGAACUGUUGUUUGGAUGGCCAAUCGAAACAGACCUGUCAAUGGCCGGGGCUCCAGAAUUUCGCUGCAGCAAGAUGGUGCCAUGAUUCUAAGGGAAUGCUGAUGGCACCCUGUUUGGGAGACGAACACUACCUCCACCGAUGUUGAUCGAGCAGAGCUUUUGGACACUGGAAACCUUGUUCUGAAGGACCCACGCGGUAAAAUUCUAUGGCAAAGCUUUCAUUUUCCAACGGAUAUUUAAUUUUCUGCCAAACCAACUCCUCACUACAAGCACAAAGCUGAUCUCUAUAGUCAGCAGAGGGGAUUUUUCCUCUGGUCACUUUCACUUCUUUUUUUUAUAAUGACAAUGUCUUGAGAAUGAUGUACGAUGGGGAUGAAGUUUCAAGCUUGUAUUGGCCUAAUCCUGAUGGGAAUGUUUUCCGAAAUGGAAGAACAAACUAUACCAGUAGUAGAAUUUAUGUUUUAGAUGAAAUGGGGAGGUUUCUUUCGAGUGAUAGAAUGUCUUUCAAAGCUUCUGACAUGGGUUUUGGAGUCAAAAGGAAGCUGACAUUGGACUACGAUGGAAACCUGAGACUCUAUAGCUUAAACCAUUCUACGGGAUUAUGGAAUAUAUCAUGGGAAGCUCUUAGCGAACAGUAUAAAGUGCACGGGCUAUGUGGUAAAAUCGGGAUUUGUAUUUAUACGCUAGAACCCAAGUGUUCAUGUCCUCCGGGCUAUGAAGUAAGUGACCCAAGUGACUGGAGCAAAGGUUGCAAGUCUAAGUUCAACCAAAGCUGUUCCCAACCACAGUAGGUAAAAUUUGUGGAGCUUCCCCAGACCGAUUACUAUGGGUUUGAUCUGAAUUAUAGCCAAUCUGUUUCACUAGAAGCUUGCAGGAAAAUCUGCUUGGAGGAUUGCCUUUGCCAAGCAUUAGCCUACAGGCUAACAGGAGAAGGGAUCUGUUACCCAAAAAGUACCCUUUUCGAUGGCUGCAAGUCCUCGAACUUCCUAGGGAGUACAUAUUUAGAACUGCCUGUAGAUGUCUAAACGUCAGCACCCACUAUUCUUAAUGGCUCUGAUAACAUAUGCAAGUCUAAGGAAGUUGAGGUCGUGCUGAGAUCUUCUUCUAUGUAUGACACUGCCAAUAAAGGGAUGAGAUGGGUUUAUCUCUACUCAUUUGUUUCCAUCAUUGGUGCAAUGGAAGUUCUCUUUAUUGUGUCGGGUUGGUGGUUUCUUUUCAGGGCACAUAAUGUGCCAUCUUCGGUUGAAGAUGGGUAUGCUCCGAUUUCAAGCUAUUUCAGGAGAUUUAGCUACACCGAACUUAAGAAGGCAACCGACAAUUUCAAAGUAGAGCUUGUAAGAAGAGGCUUUGGGGCUGUUUAUAAGGGUGUUUUGGAGGAUGAAAGGGUAGUAGCUGUGAAGAAAUUGGGAGAUGUCAUUCAAGGGGAAGAGGAGUUUUGGGCUGAAAUAAGCACUAUCCGAAAAAUGAGUUUUGACCCAAGAUAUUAAAAAAAAAAAAAUUCAUAAAAUAAACUUUGUUUCCGAAAUAAUACCUAAUUUAGUGUGUCUAUGACACGUGUUUUAAUAAAACUAAACAAAAAUAUUUUUAUAUCAAAUUAAAAAUAUCAAUGAUUUAAUUUCAUAUAUUAUUAUGUUUUAAAUUAAUAAGAUAAGUUUAUUAGCCACUCACAUAUUUUUAAUAAAUAUAAAAUCAAAAUAAUAUAAUAUUUUUAUUUAAAAAAAUUAAAAUUAAAUUCAUAGUGACUAUGACUUUGACAAUUUUAAAAUAAAUUUAAAGCAAUAGUUAUCAACUACGGUAUUAUGAUGUGGAGGCAUACGUAAUAUAAGCACACUAGAUUUAGUAUUAUUUUGGAAACAAGUUUAGUUUAUGGAUUUUUUAUUUUUAUUAAUAUCCUAAAACUGCCGAAAAAAUUAUCAUAUGAACCUUGUUAGAAUGUGGGGAUUCUGUUCAGAGGGUAGACACAGACUUGUAGUCUAUCAACAUGUAGAAAAUCUGUCACUGGAUAAGCAUCUCUUCAGCACGACUUUUCUGGGAUGGAAAUAGAGGUUUAACGUUGCAGUGGGGACAACACGGGGUUUAGCCUACCUUCAGCAGGAGUAUCUAGAAUGGGUUAUCCAUUGUGACGUGAGGCCUGAAAAUAUACUACUAGACAAUGGGUUUGAACCAAAAAUUGAAGAUUUUGGGCUAGUAAAGCUGUCCCGAAGAGGUGGCCUUGGUUCAGGAGAAUUCUCUCGGGUUCCGGGGACUAAAGGGUACAUGGCUCCAGAGUGGGCUAUGAAUCUUCCAAUUACGGCAAAAGUUGAUGCUUAUAGCUAUGGAGUUGCGGUUCUAGAGAUGGUGAGGGGAAUUUGGCUUUCAAACUGGGUGGGUGGGGAUGGUGAGGAGCAGGAAGCUGAGCUGACGAGGUUUGCCAGGCUAGUGAAACGGAAAAUUCAAUGUGGAGAAGACAAUUGGAUAGAGGAUACAUUGGACCCAAGAUCGAAGGGGAAGUUUAGCAGGCAGCAGGCAAUCGAAAUAGGUAUUUCUUGUGUGGAGGAAGAGAGAAGUAAAAGACCAACAAUGGCCACCGUAGUCCAAGUUCUACUGGAAUGUGAAGAUGAAGCCCAAGUAGACUUGGAGUAAAUGUCUUUUUUUUAUCUAUCGGCCUGUAUCUCUUGAACAAAUUACAUAGCUGUCAUCAGUUUUGGCUUUGUAGAGGGCAUUUGUCUAUUUAAUCCUAUAAUUCUCGUGAGAUACAUAAAAAGUAUUUAAUCCUACAAUCCUCAUGAGAUACAUAAAAAGUAUUUGUAAUAUCUCAUAUCAAAUAGAAAAGAAAGUUUUCUAUACUAUAAAAAUAUAGAUUUCUCUUUUAACUAUGUAGAUGCAUUUUAAAAUUAUGGAACCUUUUUGAAAUAGGCUUGAAGUAUCAUAUUAAAAUAAUUUAUUGGCUUUAAAUCUUUUUUUUUUUUCACUUUUUAUUUCUUAUAUUUUUCUCCUCUAUUUUCUUUCUCUUACAUUGUAUCUUAUAUUUUCAGGAAAAAAAAAUAUAGCCUAAAUAUUCCAAAUUAAAAUACAAAAUCAUGAACCGCAUUACUCUAGUAUGAAUAGUUAUAUCUGUGAAAUCAAGGUUUGGUUAAUCUUGAUUUUGAUGAUAACAAAACAAGGUUUAGAACUAAUGAUCAUAUUUCAAGUGUGAUUAGACAAGAUGAUUUCCAAAUUGGGAAUCACAAAGACAAAUCAAGCCAAAGAGAAAUCAUGAAAAAGAAGACCACCUCAAAGAGAAGUGUUUUUCAAAGACCCAAACUUCAUAAAAUCUCUUUGUAAGGUUGUUGAUGCACUAGGAUUUUCAUGCAUUACAUUUUUUACUUAUGCACCAAAAUCAUCUAAGAGUUAUUUUGUUUUUAAAUAUUUUAAGAAUUAGAUGAUUUCAUGUUUUCAACUAAAGCUUUGUGUUAAAUGUCUUUCAAACUUGUUUUAAAAGGUUUUAAGUUGAAAAAGUUGGUUGUUGAGCCAAAAAAACGGCUCAACCGGUCGAGAUCCGGGUCGACCCCCAACUCAACCGGUCGAGGGUGUAAAAAAAUUUCUCUUUCUUCCAGAAGGGUUGUUCAACCGGUUGAAGUCUGGUUGAUGCCCAACGGUCACCUAUCAAGCAUUAAAUGCUAAUGGCUAGUCAACCGGUCGACCCCUAGCUCGACCGAUCGAACCCCCAACGGCUAGUUUGACUUUUUUUCUUCUAUAAAAAGACUUCAAUCUUCAUUGUUUCAUGAGCUUAACCUUCCUAAAUCUUUUUUGAAUAUAUUUGAGCCUUGGAAGAGUAUUUUUUAGUUCACCAUUAUUUCAAAACUUGCAUAUCUUUAGUGCAUCAUUCAAUCUAAUUGUUCUUGUAUCAUUUGAGCUUAAAGUUCUUGUACUAGGAUUUUUGUGAGAUCUUUUGCUUGUAAAUCCUUAAAAGGAAGUUGUUCAAGAGUGUGAUAUCUCUUGAGAAGUGUAAAGGGUGUUUGGAGCCAAAAGUCCAAGAGGGUGAAUUGGAACCAUAAUCCAAUUGUAUUGUUUGAAGGCUUGGUUUGGAAGCCUUGAAUUAGUGGAACCUCAAGCUUGGGAUUGAAGCUAGAGGAGAGUGGAUGUAGGCCGGGUUGCGUCGAACCACCAUAAACUCUUGUGUUUGCUUUCUCUCUUCCCUACUCUUUAAUUUAUAUGCAAUUGUCUUAAUAUUGUUUAUCAUAUACUUGCAUAUAAUUGUCUCUUAAAUCCACUUGUGUAAAUUUGUGAAAAAAGACCAUCACCCUAUUCACCCCCCCUUUAGGGUGAUUACCAUAGGUUGGAUUAACCUAAUAUUCCUAACAAUAUAUUUAUCUAUCUUUAAGAAAUUUCAAUAAUACAAACGUAAUAUACAACAUGCUCUUUAACAUCAAUCAUUUUUGCUUUUCUUAAAAUCAAUUUUAAGGCUUAAUAUAAGGUGAAAAAUUAAUAUGUAACUUACCUAGACUUGGAUUGUGCUCGUUUUGCCAUAGUUUCACUUUUGUUAUGUUGGAUCUCAAAAAAUAUUAAAGAAAAUAUAAAAAAAAAUUAUUUUUUUUAUAUUUGAUUAUGUAUUUUUAAAAUUAUUUAAUAUUUAUAUAUAAUAAUAAUAAUAAUAAUAAUAAUAACUAAAUAGAAAAAUAAGACAAAGGAUAAAAUAUACAAUUUCUAACACAAGUCUAAAUGUGUUUUAUUGAUACAAAUGCACAACCAAUCAUCUAUCUACAUAUAUAUCUAUAUAUAUAUAUAUAAAUUUUAAUUAUUUUAUAAGGUAUUUUAUAUAAUAAUUAAAUUAAAAACAAAGGUAAAUUUAUAAGUAAAAUUAUCAAUAUUUUUAAAUAAAAAAUACUUAUGUAUCAUAUUUUUUUAUAUUGUUCAAUAUAUAUUAAUUUCUUUGUUAAAACUACUUUAAUAUAAAUAUUAUCAUUUUUUUUAAUUUUUUUAAAUAUUUUAUAUCAAUUUUCUCUUAUUAAUAUUUUUUUUAAUCAAAAUAUCCCACUCAUAUAUCAAUUGUAUUUGUACCUAGCAAAAAAUAUAAUAGAAAUAUUUUGUCCAAAAUAUUGGACAAAUGACUCAGUCGUCGAAAGAAUUUUGUCUUGUAGUUGAAGUUAAGGACAAGAAAUAUUGGACCUUGGACAGAAAUAUAACGAUUUACAGUUGUACCCAGUAAAAAUAAAUAAAUAAAUAAAGACCUGUUUAAUAAAGGGUCUUCGUCCAACGUAAUUAGACCAGACUUGAGUAGAUCAGUCUAAGUCAUCCUCCAAUGAUCAAGUCAAAAAAUGUUAGGCAUACCAAUGGGCUGGUCUGGUAGGCGCGGGUCGCAAUAUGCAUUUUCUUGCCUUAUCAUAUUCAAAAUUUCACGUGUAGUUUGAGUUUCCCACUUGCAUUUAAAAUUUCACACCUACCAAAUCUUUGUGUUUUAAGAGAUCCAACCAACCUAGUUUCUCUAAUGAAGACAAGAGAGCACCCUUGGUUUGUUAAUUGGAACCUCUUUGAGUGGGGUCUGGUCAGAUGAGACUAGAAUAAUACCAAAUGGAAGCUUUGUAGAGUCGACGGUCAAUGGUGAAGUGAUGGUGCCCAAUCAAAAGGCAAAUAAACGUUAUAACAAGAGGUCAUGACUCAUCACUCAUAAACUGGUAUAUCAAUGAGACAAUGACGCUAGCAAGUUUUCCGCGGGUCUUCCGUCGUCCCUAGCUUAAAAUAAGGUAAUAAGAUAAAAGAGUCGUCAUGUCUAUUAUAUAUAUUGGGUAAGGAGACGUGGUGUAAGGCAUAUUUCUGCAACUUGCUUCUUUAAAAAUUAAAAAUCCAUGCGAGUGUGUCCAAAUUUGGCAAGUGGGGUGGCGACUAGGUGGAGUCACAACGGUCAUUAUAUUCCAAACCCCAAUUAUUUAUUCUCAUGCUCGCCCACCAGUUCUUGUUUUUCUCUCUCUUCUUUUUUUAAAAAAAUCUUAAUUAUAUUUAAAAUAAAUAUAAUUUGUAUGUAAAUAAAUAUUAUAACUUUUUAUGAUUUAUUUUUAUAAGAUAUAUUUUCAUUUUAUAUUUGUUAAAAACUAAAAAAUAUUUUUUAUUUAAUUAUAUAUAUAUAAAUUGGAUGAGACAAUACAAUAUCUCAAUUACCCCCAUCAAAAUAAGAAAAUUCAAAUCUAUCACCAAUUUUAUAUGUCUUAUCCCAAACUCAUCUAAUGUCACCUAAAGUACGUGUAUCCGCGAAAACAUGUUUCAGGUCCAUUCCUAAUUGAGACAUCUUUUUUGACGGUUUGUUCACCUCAAAGCUCAAUGCCUGACAACCAAGUGACCAACCAAGCACGUCUUCUCGAAGAAAGGACCAAGCAUUUUCUGAGAACAGCUCAAGAUGGUGAGUUUAAGACCAAAAUAAUCUAUUUAUAAAAAAAAAUUGACAAGAAUAGUACCCAUCUCAAAAUAUUUAUCAAAGUAAUAUUUUGUAUUCACAUUUAUAUGAAUUUUUUUUUUAAGUGUAAAAAAUCACCGUUGAUAACUGUGGUUUUAAAAGUUUCAAAAAUAUCAUUAAAACUACAGUUUGUGACUGUGGUUUUACAAUUUCCUUAAAACCAUAAUUACUAAUUAUGAUUUCAAAAUUAUUUUUAACCCACCCCCGUUUGAAUGGUACUAUGAUUUUUAAAAUAUUCUUUAUCAUAAUAAUUAUAAAACUUUCACACUUUACCAAAAUUUCUUAACAAUGUACCAAAUUUUCUUAAAGUUCGUUUCGGAGUGGAGAAAUCUUUAUACAAUUUUCCAUUAUCAGUUUAAAACUAUUUUUCUUUUACAAAUUAUCCUUAAUAAAUUUUUUUUUACGACUGUUUUAAAAUUAUAUAUAUAUAUAUAUAUAUAUAUAUAUAUUUAUUUAUUUAUUUUUUAUAUUUUCCUUGAAAUUUUGAGAAAAUAAUUUUGCCUACAUGCAUUCCUAUAAAAAUUUAUAUAUUUAUGGUAAAUAAAAUAUUUAUUUUUUUUAUGAAUUUUAUCACAUAUGAAUUAAAGAAAAUUAUUUUUUCAUAUUAUUUUUAAAUUUUAAAAUAAUUAAACAAAUUGUUUAUAUUAUUUAAAAUUUUACAUUUUCAUAUAAAAAAUAAUGUCAAUGAUUAUGAUUUUAGGUUAUUCCUUAAUAAUUGUGGUUUACUAGUUAUUAUGAUAAAAAAUAUUUUACCAUUAAAAUGGAGGUGGAUUAAAAAUAAUUUUGAAACCACAGUUACUAACUGUGGUUUUAAGAAAAAUUGUAAAACCACAAUCGCAAAUUGUGGUUUUAAGUAUAUUUUUUAAACUUUUAAAAUCAUAGUUAUCAAUAGUGGUUUUUUAUACUUAAAAAAAAAUCAUGUGGAUGCUCACGUGCAUACAAAAGAUUACUUUGACAAAUAUUUUCUUAAUGAUGCCUUGGUUGGUAUAAUAAUGCCUUCCUCCUUAAUUUCCUACGUGAAGUAGCGGAUAUAAAACCAACAUUUUCUUAACCAACCAAAGAUGCAUUUCUGAACCAAACUUGGAAAGACAUGGGAAACCUAUUUUCCUCCAUUCUUCUCAUCCUUCUUAUCUCUUUCUUCUUCUCUUUUACAACUUCCAAAACCCAGAACUUUUUGCAAAGAGGCUCCUCUCUCUCUGUCGAAGAUGAUUCGGACGACUACAUCACCUCUCCAGACAAAUCAUUCACUUGUGGUUUCUAUGGGAUGGGGGAAAAUGCUUACUGGUUUUCAAUAUGGUUCACAAAUUCAAAGGAAAGAACUGUUGUUUGGAUGGCCAAUCGAAAUAGACCUGUCAAUGGCCGGGGCUCCAGAAUUUCGCUGCAGAGAGAUGGCACCAUGAUGCUAAGGGAUGCUGAUGGCUCAACUGUUUGGGAGACUAACACUACCUCUACCGAUGUUGAUCGAGCAGAGCUUUUGGACACUGGAAACCUUGUUCUCAAGGACCCACGAGGUAAAAUUCUGUGGCAAAGCUUUGAUUUUCCAACUGAUACUCUUCUGCCAAACCAAAUCUUUACCACGAGCACAAAGCUGAUCUCUAUACUCAGAAAAGGGGAUUUUUCUUCUGGUUACUUUAACUUCCUUUUUGACAAUGACAAUGUCUUGAGAAUGAUGUAUGAUGGGCCUGAGAUUUCAAGCUUGUAUUGGCCUAAUCCUGAUUGGGAUGUUUUCCAAAAUGGAAGAACAAACUAUAACAGUAGCAGAAUUGCUGUUUUAGAUGAAAUGGGGAGGUUUCUUUCGAGUGAUAGAAUGUCUUUCAAAGCUUCUGACAUGGGUUUUGGAGUCAAAAGGAGGCUGACAAUGGACUACGAUGGAAACCUGAGACUCUAUAGCUUAAACCAUUCCACGGGAUUAUGGAAUAUAUCAUGGGAAGCUCUUAGGCAACAGUGUAAAGUGCAUGGGCUAUGUGGUAGAAAUGGGAUUUGUAUUUAUACACCAGAACCCAAGUGUUCAUGUCCUCCGGGCUAUGAAGUAACUGACCCAAGUGACUGGAGCAAAGGUUGCAAGUCUAAGUUCAACCAAAGCUGUUCCCAAACACAGCAGGUAAAAUUUGUGGAGCUUCCCCAGACCGAUUACUAUGGGUUUGAUCUCAAUUACAGCCAAUCUGUUUCAAUGGAAGCUUGCAGGAAAAUCUGCUUGGACGAUUGCCUUUGCCAAGGAUUCGUCUACAGGCUAACAGGAGAAGGGAACUGUUUCGCGAAAAGUACCCUCUUCAAUGGCUUCAAGUCCUCCAACUUCCCUGGGAGUUUAUAUUUAAAACUGCCUGUGGAUGUCGAAACGUCAGCACCCACUGUCCUUAAUGGUUCUGAUCUCAUAUGCGAGUCCAAGGAGGUUGAGGUUGUGCACAGUUCUUCUGUGUAUGACACUGCCAGUAAAAAGAUGAGAUGGGUUUAUCUCUACUCAUUUGCUUCUGCCAUUGGUGCCAUAGAAGUUCUCUUUAUUGUGUCAGGUUGGUGGUUUCUUUUCAGGGUACAUAAUGUGCCAUCUUCAGCUGAAGAUGGAUAUGGUCCGAUAUCAAGCCCGUUCAGGAGAUUUAGCUACACCGAACUCAAGAAGGCAACCAACAAUUUCAAAGUGGAGCUUGGAAGAGGAGGCUUUGGGGCUGUUUAUAAGGGUGUUUUGGAGGAUGAAAGGGCAGUAGCAGUGAAGAAAUUGGGAGAUGCCACUCAAGGGGAAGGGGAGUUUUGGGCUGAAGUAAGCACAAUCGGAAAAAUCUAUCACAUGAACCUAGUCAGAAUGUGGGGAUUCUGUUCAGAGGGUAGACACAGACUUGUAGUCUACGAGCAUGUAGAAAAUCUGUCACUGGAUAAGCAUCUCUUCAGCACGAGUUGUCUGGGAUGGAAAGAGAGGUUUAACGUUGCAGUGGGGACAGCGAGGGGUUUAGCCUACCUUCACCAUGAGUGUCUAGAAUGGGUUAUCCACUGUGACGUGAAGCCUGAAAAUAUACUUCUAGACAACGGGUUUGAACCAAAGAUUGCAGAUUUUGGGCUAGCCAAGCUGUCUCAGAGAGGUGGCCCCGGUUCAGGAGAAUUCUCUCGGAUUCGGGGGACUAAAGGGUACAUGGCUCCAGAGUGGGCUAUGAAUCUUCCAAUUACGGCAAAAGUUGAUGUUUAUAGCUAUGGAGUUGUGGUUUUAGAGAUGGUGAGGGGAAUUCGGCUUUCGAAAUGGGUGGGUGAGGAUGGCGAGGAGCAGGAAGCUGAGCUGACGAGGUUUGUCAGGGCAGUGAAAAGGAAAAUUCAAUAUGGCGAAGACAAUUGGGUAGAGGAUACAGUGGACCCAAGAUUGAAGGGGAAGUUUAGCAGGCAGCAGGCUGCCAUGUUGGUCGAAAUAGGUAUUUCUUGUGUGGAGGAAGAUAGAAGUAAACGACCAACAAUGGCCACCGUAGUGCAAGUUCUACUGGAAUGUGAAGAUGAAGCCCAAGUCCAAACCCUGGACUUGGAGUAAAUCUCCUUUUUUUUAUUUACUGAAUAAGUUAUGGGGCCUGUAUCUCCUGAACAAAUUAGAUAGUUGUCAUUGGUUUUUCUUGUUUUCCUUUUGUAUGGGGUCUGUAGCCACUACAUCAAUUUGGAAUCUUACAAGUUCAUGGUCUUGGGUAGCAUAAAAUAUUCACCUCCCAUAUAAUAAUAGAAGUACACAGAAUGCAGAUAAUAAGAUUUUUUUUUUUUCUCCCAAAAAGAAAAGAAAAAAAGAAAAAAAAAAGAGACAGAAGUCUGUAAAAUAGUAUUGGGUGAAAAGAAAUUUAGGCCCAGAAUUUAACAGUUUCAUGCAAUCACAGAAAAGGUCCUAUCAAUGAAACUGAAAGCAUCACAAAAUCCUGUUGAAUUAAAACCUAACUUCAGCCAGCAAAAUGCCUAAGAAUUAAGGACACAUAAAAAACAGAAAAUUCAAGUGGCCUGGAGCGAUGGAAAUGGUAGUAAAGGUGCAGUCAUUACUGAAUCAAUAAAAAAGAAAAAAAUAGUUUUAAUUCCAAAUUCAUACAUAAAGUUUUGGUAACAGUUUGUUUGAUGAAAUUGAAAAUUAAGUAGAGAGAAAUAUAUUGCAUCAUGCUAAUAUAAAAUGCCUACUUACAUAAUUUGUGUACUAAAACUGUUGGAUGAGGCCCAAUUGAAAAUUUAUGAUUUCUGGAAUGUUGUAAAGACCAUAACUUGUCAGUAACUAAUAAAGGACAACCAUAUAAGUAAAUAACAAAAAUUGUUUAUGCCAACUAUUCUUGCUUGGAUAAUCUGGAGCUGAGAACCAUUAUUUAUGGCGUUAUUUUAGUUUUUGACGUCAUGCUCCUCAAGCAACAUCUUAUAUGACUAUUUUUAAUUUUUUAGGAUAAGGUCCAACAUAAACUAGUGCAAGUGUGAAGAUUGCAUUUUGUUAUGCCUCAGACACUCUGAAGUAGAGGGAAUCACACUCUCCAUUUGACUUGACAUGUGAUAUGCUGGAAACCUAAAACAUGGCCUUGGUUAGGCUGGUGUCAUUUUUCACUACUCAAAAGGUUCCUUGCCCACAUGCUCAAGAGUUAUAUGUAUAGUCUAUAUAACUAACUGACACUUGUGAUUCAACACAAAUGCAAUGACACUUUCCUUGAGAAUACCUGAAAUAAGAUGAAUAACAACAAAUGUCACACCAAAGCAAAUAGGUCGUGCCAAUCAAGAAUUCUGUUUCAUAAUUGUCUGCAGGUUGAUGCGCUCAUGGGUGAUGUGGAAAGGGAAGUAUCCUUGACCAGUGUGAUCCCUUGAGACUCAAAUCAUGAUUCUAUAAUUUAAAGAAUGAUGAAAUGUGUUUUUUUUUUUUUUUGAGUAAAUUAUGUAAAAGUGCAUUAAAAAAAUAUAAUUUUUUUUCAAAAGUAAUCCAAUAAACAUGCAUUCAAAUAGUAAUUUCAAUAAAUAUCCGUGAUUGUAUUUGAUUGUUUUCUCUUUCUUGAUUAACCUAUUUGUUUUUUUUCUUUUUUGGGUUUUUUUUUGUUUUUUUCAAACCUUGAAAUGACAUGUCAAAAGUUAGUAAUUACUUUUAAUGUUGACAUGUGCCUAAUCAACAUAUCACAUUAUUUUUAUUAUUAUUCUUUUUUCUUUAUUUUACCUAUAAAAUAAUCUACUUUUUAAUUUUUUUUUUUCACUUUUUCUCCUUUUCAUAAUUAUUGAUUUUAAUUAUUUAGAUACAUUUUAAAUAUAUAAUAAUAAUAAUAAUAAUAACGACAACAAUAAUAACAAUAACAACAACAAUAAUAAUAUAUGAUAAAUAAUUAAUAGCAAAAAAUUAAUAUGCAAAUUUAGAAGUUUAAAAUAUAUAUAUAAGAUUUUAUAUAUUCAUAUUAAAUAAAAUAUUUAUUUAUUUGAUAAAUCUUAUUAUAUAAAUUAAAUAAAAAUAGGUUUAUCAUAUUAUUUUAUUAUUUCUAUUUUUUUUUAAAUUUAAACUUUUUAUGUGAAAAUCAAAAAUCAAUUAUCGUGAUUUUUUAACUUUUUUACUUAUGAUUCUUACUUGAAUGUAGUUUUAACUUUUUUUUAGUUAAAAUCAUUAAUAUUUUUAUUUUAAAAAAUAAAAACUUGAUUAUGGUUAUAAUAUUUUACUUUAUUAAAAUUUUAUUUUUUUAUUCAUAUAAAAUAAAAAUAAAAUAUGCUUUUAAAAAAAUUGUAUUUAAUCAUUGAUAUUAAUUUUCUUUUAAAUUUAUUAAAAAUUAAAAUUUUUGUAUAAUGAAAUUGCGCAUUAAUCAACACAACUAUUGAAAAAGAAUGUAUCAUUCUUUUAUGAAAAAUGUAACACUAAAGUUUGUUAAAAAUACCAUGAAAAUGUUACUUUUAACACAUUUUAGUGUUACUUUUUUCAUAAAAGAUUGGUACAUUUUUUCUAAUGGUUGUGUUGAUCAAUGCACAAUGUCAAUAUAUAAAAAUUUUAAUUUGUAAUAAGAUUAAGAAAAAUGAACAUAAAUGAUUAAAUACAAUUUUUAUGAAAAAUAUAAAUAAAAAAUAAAUUUUUUUAAUAAAGCAUAAUGUUAUCAUCACAACCAAAUUUUCUUCUUUAAUUACAAAUAUUAAACAUUUUAGCCAAGAAAAAAAAUUUAUGUCCUAAAUCUCAAUUGUGAUUUAGGCUAGUUAAAUUUAUAAGCAAAAAGCUAAAACUAUAAUUAUCAAUUAUGAUUUUCACAUGAAAAUUUAAAGUAAAAAAUAUAAAUAAUAUGACAAUAUAAUAAGAUUUAUAAAAUAAAUAAAUAUUUUAUUUAGUAUGAAUAUAGAAAAUUUUAUAUCCUAAAUCUCUAAAUUUGUUCAUCAUGUAUUUAUUUUUAUAUUAAAUUUAUUAUCAUUAAUUAUUUAUUAUAUAUUAUUAUUUUAUGUUUAAAAAUGUCCAUAAAUAAUUAAAAUUAAUAAAUAUAAAAAGCUGAAAUAUUAGAAAAUUUUCAUCAAGUUAACAUAUUAAAAAAAAACAAAAAUAAGAUGAGGAUAUUAAUCAUGUAGUAUGGUGAUUGCUGCAUGUCAUUUUUUUUUAAACAAUAAUAGUUAUGAUGAGUUCAUUUGUCUUGUCAAAGUAAAUAAUAAAAAGAAAAAAAAAAGUGAUAAUAAAAAGAAAAAAAAAGUGAUAGUUGAGGGAGGUGAAAGAAGAGGGAUUGAGGGUAAGUUUGAAAUAUCGAUUAUUUUCAUUAUUUGAGUGCUUUGGGAUUAUUUUCCCUUCUUUGAAAAUCAAAAAUCAAAGUUCUAAAAAAUGCAAUUUCUUUUUUUUAAAUGAUACAUGAUUACAUGAUUCCCCCUUUUUUUUUCAUCUUCUCAGUGCAUUUGGAAGUGCAUUUUCUGACCAGGUGUUUGUUCAGGGGUAAAUGCCUAAAACACAAAUCUGGACGAUUCGGUUAGAUCAAUUAUGCUGCAAGGCAUCCUUUCAACACGUACAAGAUAGUUAUCCAGUACUCGUGUAACUUAAAAACUUUUUAUUUGAGUUUCAUGCCAUAUUUUUUCCCUAAGCAAAUGAAAUAAUUCUACUGCUUCUUAUUAAGCGUUUAGAAUGGGUUAAAAUCCUAUAUCUGAAUGUGGGGAACAAUUUGCUCAGUGAAUGAAUUGCAUCAUCUUUACAUUUUAUUUCUUCCACUUUUGCUGCUGAAAAUAUGGGUGGUCUCAUCCGAAGUUGGGACAUGUUUCGGGGCCACUGCAUUCGAAUGAAUGGACUAGUGACUUCAAAUGCAAAUUUUGGACCACUAAAAGCUCCUAAGGAAUGGAGUUGUGAUUUCAAAUGCCAUAGAAGAUGUCUUUUUAUUUUUUAUAUAUUUUUUUUCAGCCCGGCGAUACAAUGUUGUUUAUGGGACAUCAAAUCUACUAGAAGGUCCUGCUUGAUUUAUAGGAAGAAAAUGUGAAGAAAAUUAUUUUCCUUAUAACUAGUGAGGUAGGUGGGUGCAACUUGUGCUCUAAGCAGCUUUCAUUGAAUAUUUGACAAAAUUAUCCUAUAAAUAAUUAGCAUCUUCCUCUAUGUGUCAUUUCCAGACUCAAGAUCCUUUCGUCGAUCAAGACAAACAUAUAACCCAUCUGGGAUUACUCUAUUUGGACCAAGAUAAGCUCCGUCUGGCACCUGAAAUGAGAAGUUUUCCUUCUUCCAUAAUGCCAGACGAAAUGGACAGACCAAGCCGACUAGACCUUUUAGACAGACAAAUCAAUCCAGUCAAGUCUUCAAGAUUUCUGAAAUGCGUGGUUAAUCACGCCUGAUGUCUUAGCAAUGGACUAGACGCUUGAUGUCUAAGCGACGACUAGAUGUCUGGUGUCUGAAUGAUGACCUAUACGCUUGAUGUUUGAGCAACGAACUAGACGUCAUUUACACCCAAAAGUCAAUGCCAAUCAAUUGUUACACACAAUCCCAUAUAUUGGCAAGCUAAAUGGACAGUCAACUACAUGAUCCAAGAUUUUGGCAUGAUAGUCAGCAAAUGGCAUAAGUCAGUAGCCCUUACUUGAUAUGAUUGCCCAUUUCACACAAUAGUGACAACGUUGACUGUCCUAGCAAGGCUCGAUUUUCGUCCUAAUGACAAUCAUCAUUACAAGAAAGACAAGAGUGCAUAAUCAAUGCUAUAAUCACGAUGUCAUCAGUUCUAUAUAAACCCCUCAAAAAGCACGAAUAAGAUAUACACUCAUUCUCUCCCACAAAAAAUAGUUAAAGCUAUCCUCAAUGAUUGCUGAUUUAAGCUUUGGAGGGGUGUGUCUGAACCACAUGUCCGGACAUCCUUCUGUGUAAGGAAGAAGUCCACCUAACUCCAGUGAAACUAGACGGACCUGAAUCCAAUUGGCUCGACACCAACAUAUGUGAUUCAAAACUCACAUGGAAGGCUCCAAUCAGUAAAGAGUCCUUCUCCAACGUGAUUAUCUCAGCAUGAGCCAUCAUCCCAUGACCAAGAGUGAAUACAAAAAUGUUAGGUAGGCCGCAUACAAAAGUACCCAUCGUUCUAUUAGGCUGUCGUAAUAUGCAUUAUCUAUUCGAAUUAUAUUCAAAGUUUCACCACUCGUAAAUAGGGCUGCAUAUUUCAAAAUUCCACACCUACCCCAUCUUCCAGUGUUUUAAGAGUUUCACACAAGUUUCUCUAAAUCUUCCUCAUUCUUAGCUGGCAAAUGUUGACACCUUCCUUUAGGAAUAAUACAAUAUCAAUGAUUCAAUAGAUCUCCUUUAACAACUUGAUGAAAAUCAUUCCCUUUCAUUUUCAUAAUUAGGUAUUGUCGAAUGAGGUUACUAGAAUAAAUGGAACUUGGGUUCACAUUGAUUAAUGGUAAAAUAGUGCCAAGUGAAAAUGCAAAUAACACAAGAUUAAUGAGAAGAAGAAAACACAUCAUUUUUCAUUACAACUAAAAAUGGAAGAUUCAUGGUGGUGAUUGAAAUGAAAUCUCCAAAUAGAGAUUGGCUAGUUAUAUUGUGACCUUGGUGGUUUGGAAAUCCAAGAUCUACCUUGUUGAGAAUGAUCAAAUUUUAGGGGUGUUACCAAUAUUGUCCCUCAUACUAAUGACCAAUUCAAGGCAUUGAAAUAUAAAAAAUGAAGCAGGUAGGAGUGGAUAUUAAAAAAAGAAGGGUGUCUUAGCUUCAUUGCCGACAAGUCUUUAGAGGAUCUUCAUCUAUAACUUACAUCAAACAAGAAGGGGUCAUGAAUUCAUUUGUAGUUUUCCUCAAAUAACAAGACUUGUUGACAUAUAUAUAAUCAGCGGGUAAACCAAUGGCUAGCAUCAUUGCUGAUGUAUGUAGCUAGCUUACGUAAGAUAAAGAACUAUCAUUAUCCAUGUGUAACUUAUGAGGUAGGAAUAGGCCUUCACAAAAAAGAACUUAUCUAAGGCAUUAUUUCUAGGGUGGUGUUUGUUGAAUUUUGAAUUUUGUCUUAGUAUUUGCUGGAAUUUGAAUUUUGAAGUUAAAUAUUGCAGUUGGAGUCUUGCACAAAAUCUACAGCAUCCAAAUAUUUUCUUGUUUUUUAUUUGGUCAAGAUUUGGUUUCUAUUUUAUAGAAAGUAGUUGUUCAUCAUCUAGCAACUUGAUUUUACGCUAUUCUAAUGUCAUUUUAGUUACAAGCUCAUGUAUAAAUUUAACACUCUUUAUCAAUAAAAUGUGUGUUCCAGGAACCCAAAAAUAUAUAUUCUUCAUAAGUGUUUAGUCAAAUCAACAUUGUGGUAUCAAAGCAGAAGUUAUCGUGAAGGGCCAAUGAGUUGAGUGAGCCUAAAUACCUUGAGAGUGCCUAAACACCACAGACCCGUGAGGUGAGUGAACCCAAAACACCACAAGUGAACCUAAACGCCUUCUAAAAUCAUCUAGCAAUGAAGGAGUCAAGUGUCACAGCUGCACCAUCAAUUCUUGAUGGAGACAAUUAUGAAACUUGGGUUGUUAGAAUGACAAUUCAUCUACAAGUACUUAAUGUUUGGGAAGUAGUGGAAGAAAAUUAUGAAGUUCCUCCACUAUGAGCCAAUCCAACUGUGGCUCAAAUGAAGUUGCAGAAAAAAAGAAAAACAAGAAAGGCUAAAGCGAAGGCUUUCUUGUUUGCUGCAAUUUCACCAUCAAUUUUGAUAAAAAAAUCAUGAAAAUUGAUUUAACUGCAAAAAUUUCGGAGUGGCUUAAGGAGGAAUACAAAGGAGAUGAAAGAAUCAAGAACAUGCAAGUGAUGAACUUGAUUUGAGAAUUUGAAAUGAAGAAAAUGAGGGAGUCUGGUGUUGUUAAAGUCUAUGCUACACAAUUUCUUUCAAUAGCAGACAAAGUUAGGCUGUUUGGAAAAGAAUUUUCCAAUCAGAAGAUUGUUCAAAAGAUAUUGGUUACACUUCUAGAGAAAUAUGAAGCUACAAUUUCCUCUUUGGAGAAUUCAAAGGAUCUGUCAACUAUUAGCUUGAUAGAAUUAUUACAUUCCUUGGAGAUUGUGGAACAAAAAAGGUUCAUGAGACAAGGAGAUACUAUAAAAGGAGCAUUUCAAGCAAGAAUGCAGAAAAAUGCAGGCCAUAAAAAUGGAGAGAAGAAAAAAAAAAAAAAAACAAGCUAAACAAUAUCAACCAGAAAAAUGGAGUUUUUCCACCUUGUCUUCAUUUUCCACAAAAAUGUUGGUAGGAACCAGAUGUGAAAUGUAACAAGUGUGGUAAACAAGGACAUGUGGAGAUGAUUUGCAAAAAUCAAUAACAAGAAGAAACUAGUGCAACAGUUGACCAAUGCCAAGAGGAGCAAUUGUUUGCAACAACGUGUUUUGCUAAUAAAAACACCUCUGAAAGUUGGCUUAUGGAUAGUGGUUGUACAAACCACAUGACAAAUAAUCAAGAUCUUUUUAGAGAACUUGAUAGAACAAUUAUUUCCAAAGUUAGAAUUGGAAAUGGUGUACUUAUUCUAGUGAACGGAAAAUGAACGGUUGCUAUCGAAAGCCAAAUAGGUUUGAAACUCAUUUAUGAUGUUUUGUUUGUGCCUGACAUUGACCAAAACUUAGUCAGUGUUGGACUUGUUGAGAAAGGAUCUAAAGUUUAUUUUGAAGAUAGGAAUUGUAUUAUUAAGGAUGCUGAAGGCAAAGAGGUGUUUAACAUAAAACUAAACUGCAAGAGUUUUGCUUUGAAUUUACUGGAAAAUGAGCAUGUUGUUGUUUUACAACAAGAUAGUACAAAAAUGCUUUGGCACAGAAGACUCGGGCACUUUAAUCAUGAUGUUGUGCUCUACAUGAAAAAAACUCAAAUAGUUGAAGAACUUCUUGAAUUUGAAAAAGAUCUUCCUAUAUGUGCUACUUGUCAAUAUGGGAAGCAAACUAAACUUUCAUUUCCAAAGAAAACAUCCUGGAGAGCAACCCAAAAACUGCAACUGGUGCAUACUAAUGUUGGUGGACCUCAAAAGACACCAUCCUUGAAAGGGAGAAACAAUGUGGGGCUGGCCAAUAAGUUCAAGGCUGAAAUGAAGCAAGUCCUGGAAAUGACAGACCUUGGAGAGAUGACUUAUUUCUUGGGAAAAGAAGUACAUCAUCAACAACAUGAUAUUUUCAUCUGUCAGAAAAAAUAUGCAAAAGAAAGAUUGAAGAAAUUCAGAAUGGAAGAAUGCAAGCCUACAUCAACUCCUAUGAACCAAAAAUAGAAUUUUUGUAAGGAAUAUGGUACUGAAAAGGCCGAUGAAGGAAAUUUUAGAAGCAUGAUUGGAUGCUUAAUGUACUUGACCGCAAUAAGACCAGAUAUAAUGUACAUCGUAAGUCUACUUUUGAGGUACAUGCAUUGUGCAAGUGAAAUUCAUUUUCAGACAACAAAACGUGUGUUGAGAUAUGUUAAAGGUACAAUUGAUUAUGGUAUUAAGUUCAAUCAAGUUAAAAAAUUCAUUCUUCAUGGAUAUUCCGAUAGCGAUUAGGUUGGAUGUGUUGAUGAUAUGCGAAAUACUUCAGGCUGUUUUAGUUUUGGUUAUAGUAUAUUUUCUUGGAGUUCAAAGAAACAAGAAGUUAUGGCUCAAUCCACAGCUGAGGCGGAGUAUGUUGCUGUUGUUGAUGCUGUAAAUCAAGUUUUCUGGUUUAGAAAGUUGCUGACAGAUCUGGACAUGAAGCAAGAAAUGAGUACUCAAGUGUUUGUUGACAACCAAGCUGCUAUAUCUAUUGCCAAUGACCCGGUUUUUCAUGGCAAAACAAAGCACUUCAAGAUUAAACUAUACUUUCUGACCGUGGUGCAGAAGGAAGGAAAUGCGCAACUAGUCUAUUGUAACAUGGAGAGUCAAAAUGCUGAUAUAUUAUCUAAAUCUCUUCAUAAAGCAAGGUUUGAGUUUCUACGUGGAAGACUUGGAGUUUGCAUCUACUAAGUCAAGGAGGAGUGUUGAAUUUUGAAUUUUUCCUUAGUAUCUGUUGGAUUUGAAUUUUAAAGUUAAAUAUUGCAGUUGGACUCUUACACAAAAUCCGCAACAUCCAAAUAUAUAUAUAUUUUUUUUGUCAAGAUUUGGUUUCUAUUUUAUAGGAAGUAGUUGUUCAUCAUCAAUAAAAUAUUUCGUCAAGAUUUGAUUUUCUGUCAUUCUAAUGUCAUUUCAGUUACAAUCUCACGUAUUAAUUCAAUAUUCUUUAUCAAUAAAAUGUGUGUUUUAGCACCCAAGAUUUGGUUUCUAUUUUAUAGGAAGUCAGAUCCACAGCGUUCACAGUAUUAGACAAAGGGCACGUUCAGAUGUGACCCUUUCCACAGUCAAAUUGGAUAAAUAUGUGUCGUCUCCCUAAGGUUUCUCAAUAAUUCAUCUCCGUUAAAAAAUCUUGAGGCAUCAUCACUCUGUGGUUGACAGUUUGUUUGAAAAGCUGAUCUGGCAUGGAUAAAAUCUUGGGCUAUCUUUACUCUGUGGUUGACAGCUUGUUUGAAAAGCUGAUCAGGAUAGUGGAUAGACUUAAUUGGUGCCAUGUCUUCCCUCCUUUCAUACUUGAACUAGUGGAUUUAAAUCCAACAUUUUCUUAACCAACCAAAGAUACAUCGCUAAACAAAACCAUAGGAAAGACAUGGGAAACCUUAGUCCUACAUCUUCAAAGUUUCCUUCCAUUCUUCUUAUCAUUCUCAUAUUUCUCAUCUCCUUCUCUUUUGCAACUUCCAACACCCAGAACCUUUUGCGAAGAGGCUCCUCUCUCUCUGUCGAAGAUGAUUCCGACUACAUCACCUCCCCAGACAAAUCAUUCACUUGUGGUUUCUAUGGGAUGGGGAAAAAUGCUUACUGGUUUUCGAUAUGGUUCACAAAUUCAAAGGAAAAAACUGUUGUUUGGACGGCCAAUCGAAACACACCUGUCAAUGGCCGGGGCUCCAGAAUUUGGCUGCAGCGAGAUGGCACCAUGAUUCUAAGGGCUGCUGAUGGCUCAACUGUUUGGGAGACGAACACUACCUCCACAGAUGUUGAUCGAGCAGAGCUUUUGGACACUGGAAACCUUGUUUUGAAGGACCCGCGGGGUAAAGUUCUAUGGCAAAGCUUUGAUUUUCCUACUGAUACUCUUCUGCC